This 443-nucleotide ribosomal RNA is filed under the name uncultured bacterium. Its description in RNAcentral is "partial 16S ribosomal RNA". It matches the Rfam family "Bacterial small subunit ribosomal RNA", at positions 338 to 795 of the family's 1533-position model. The record is from RNAcentral.
CCUACGGGUGGCAGCAGUGGGGAAUAUUGGGCAAUGGGCGCAAGCCUGACCCAGCAACGCCGCGUGAAGGAAGAAGGCUUGCGGGUGGUAAACUUCUUUUCUGAGGGACGAAGAAAGUGACGGUACCUCAGGAAUAAGCAACGGCUAACGACGUGCCAGCAGCCGCGGUAAUACGUAGGUGGCAAGAGUUAUCCGGAUUUAUUGGGUGUAAAGGGCGUGUAGGGGGGAAAGCUAGUCAGAUGUGAAAACUCAGGGCUCAACCCUGAUCCGGCAUUUGAAACUGUUUCCAUUGAGUGUCUGAGUGGUAAUCGGAAUUCCUAGUGUAGCGGUGAAAUGCGUAGAUAUUAGGAAGAACACCAGUGGCUAAGGCGGAUUACUGGACGAUAACUGACGGUGAGGCGCGAAAGCGUGGGGAGCAAACAGGAUUAGAUACCCGGGUAGUC